ACGCUCGACACCUACGGGAGGCAGCAGUUGGGAAUAUUGGACAAUGGAGGAAACUCUGAUCCAGUGACGCCGCGUGAAGGAAGAAGGUCUUCGGAUUGUAAACUUAUUUUGUCAGGGAAGAAAAAAUGACUGUACCUGAAGAAAAAGCACCGGCUAACUACGUUCCAGCAGCCGCGGUAAUCUGAGCGGGCUGGCAAGGC
RNAcentral lists this ribosomal RNA (200 nucleotides) under uncultured bacterium. RNAcentral's name for it is "partial 16S ribosomal RNA". It matches the Rfam family "Bacterial small subunit ribosomal RNA", at positions 328 to 539 of the family's 1533-position model. The record is from RNAcentral.